GCUGGGUACAGUGGUGUACACCUGUAAUCCCAGUGGCUCUGGAAGCUGAGGCAGGAGGAUCUCAAGUUCAAAGCUAGUCUCAGCAAAAGUAAGGUCCUAAGCAAGUCGGUGAGAACCUGUCUCUA
Molecule: small RNA, 125 nt
Filed under: Marmota monax (woodchuck)
Lineage: Eukaryota; Metazoa; Chordata; Mammalia; Rodentia; Sciuridae
Source: RNAcentral